Molecule: ribosomal RNA, 496 nt
Filed under: uncultured bacterium
Lineage: Bacteria
Description: partial 16S ribosomal RNA
Rfam family: Bacterial small subunit ribosomal RNA
Source: RNAcentral
AUGAACGCUGGCGGCGUGCCUAAUCCCUGCCAGUCGAGCGAACGGACGAGAAGCUUGCUUCUCUGAUGUUAGCGGCGGACGGGUGAGUAACACGUGGAUAACCUACCUAUAUGACUGGGAUAACUUCGGGAAACCGGAGCUAAUACCGGAUAAUAUUUUGAACCGCAUGGUUCAAAAGUGAAAGACGGUCUUGCUGUCACUUAUAGAUGGAUCCGCGCUGCAUUAGCUAGUUGGUAAGGUAACGGCUUACCAAGGCAACGAUGCAUAGCCGACCUGAGAGGGUGAUCGGCCACACUGGAACUGAGACACGGUCCAGACUCCUACGGGAGGCAGCAGUAGGGAAUCUUCCGCAAAGGGCGAAAGCCUGACGGAGCAACGCCGCGUGAGUGAUGAAGGUCUUCGGAUCGUAAAACUCUGUUAUUAGGGAAGAACAUAUGUGUAAGUAACUGUGCACAUCUUGACGGUACCUAAUCAGAAAGCCACGGCUAACUACGUG